Non-coding RNA from Castor canadensis (American beaver), 227 nucleotides. Lineage: Eukaryota; Metazoa; Chordata; Mammalia; Rodentia; Castoridae. The record is from RefSeq and is a predicted model, not a curated record.
AAGUGAAAGAGCCAUAGCUCAGGUUCAAAUUGUGAAUUUUCCUCAAGUGCAAAUAAUCUAGAUGAUGACUUUGUUAAAAUAUUUGGUAAGUGUCCCCCUUCUGCGACAUUUUUGGACUGUAUUUGGAAUCAUCUAUUUGUCCUUGGUUGUCUCCAGGUCACCUGUCCCUACUGCUUUGGAGCAAAGGUCAUCUCCAUCAUAAGAACUCAUACAAUUCUGACUUUGGG